RNAcentral lists this ribosomal RNA (371 nucleotides) under uncultured organism. RNAcentral describes it as "bacterial SSU rRNA". It matches the Rfam family "Bacterial small subunit ribosomal RNA", at positions 526 to 896 of the family's 1533-position model. The record is from RNAcentral.
CGUAGGCAGCGAGCGUUGUUCGGAGUUACUGGGCGUAAAGGGUGUGUAGGCGGUUGUUUAAGUUUGGUGUGAAAUCUCCCGGCUCAACUGGGAGGGUGCGCCGAAUACUGAAUGACUUGGAGUGCGGGAGAGGAAAGUGGAAUUCCUGGUGUAGCGGUGAAAUGCGUAGAUAUCAGGAGGAACACCGGUGGUGUAGACGGCUUUCUGGACCGUAACUGACGCUGAGACACGAAAGCGUGGGUAGCAAACAGGAUUAGAUACCCUGGUAGUCCACGCCCUAAACGAUGCAUAUUUGGUGUGGGCAGUUCAUUCUGUCCGUGCCGGAGCUAACGCGUUAAAUAUGCCGCCUGGGGAGUACAGUCGCAAGGCUG